Molecule: ribosomal RNA, 448 nt
Filed under: uncultured soil bacterium
Lineage: Bacteria
Description: bacterial SSU rRNA
Rfam family: Bacterial small subunit ribosomal RNA
Source: RNAcentral
AGAUUGAACGCUGGCGGCAUGCCUUACACAUGCAAGUCGAACGGCAGCACGGGAGCAAUCCUGGUGGCGAGUGGCGAACGGGUGAGUAAUACAUCGGAACGUGCCCAAUCGUGGGGGAUAACGCAGCGAAAGCUGUGCUAAUACCGCAUAAGAUCUACGGAUGAAAGCAGGGGAUCGCAAGACCUUGCGCGAAUGGAGCGGCCGAUGGCAGAUUAGGUAGUUGGUGAGGUAAAGGCUCACCAAGCCUUCGAUCUGUAGCUGGUCUGAGAGGACGACCAGCCACACUGGGACUGAGACACGGCCCAGACUCCGUACGGGAGGCAGCAGGUGGGGUAAUUUUGGGACAAGUGGGACGAAAGCCUGAUCCGAGCCAUCGCCGCGUGCGAGGAUGAAGGUCCGUUCGGGUUAGUAAACGUUGUCGUUUUAGGUAACGGUAAACGUAAACGUU